RNAcentral lists this ribosomal RNA (477 nucleotides) under uncultured bacterium. Its description in RNAcentral is "partial 16S ribosomal RNA". It matches the Rfam family "Bacterial small subunit ribosomal RNA", at positions 28 to 507 of the family's 1533-position model. The record is from RNAcentral.
GAUUAACGCUGGCGGCGUGCAUAACACAUGCAAGUCGAACGAUGAAACUUAAAUGAUUUCUUCGGAAUGAACUUAAGUGGAUUAGUGGCGGACGGGUGAGUAACGCGUGAGUAACCUGCCUUACACAAGGGGAUAGCCGUUGGAAACGACGAAUAAUACCCUAUGAAACUAUCACUUCGCAUGAAGCGAUAGUCAAAGUGUUAGCGGUGUAAGAUGGACUUGCGUCUGAUUAGCUAGUUGGUGAGAAAAAAGCCCACCAAGGCAACGAUCAGUAGCCGGCUUGAGAGAGUGUACGGCCACAUUGGGACUGGGACACGGCCCAGACUCCUACGGGAGGCAGCAGUGGGGAAGUUUGCACAAUGGGGGAAACCCUGAUGCAGCGACGCCGCGUGAUUUAGAAGGCCUUCGGGUUGUAAAAAUCUUUUGUAUAGGAAGAAAAUGACAGUACUAUACGAAUAAGGUCCGGCUAAUUACGUG